ACCGAGUUGAAGUUGCCUGCGUGGUGUCCACACAGAUUGUCUGAUGAUAAGAAAGAGUCAAAAGCGUCUUGCGAAGCUGACAAGUGAUGUCCCCUUCGUCUAGAGGCCCAGGACACCGCCCUUUCACGGCGGUAACAGGGGUUCGAAUCCCCUAGGGGACGCCAAUAUGACUGACGGUGGGUGAAAGACACGGUCAACGCUAACCUAAAACUGAUUAGAGAUAGUCAGGUUUAUGUUAUCUGCUCUUUAACAAUCCGGAACAAGCUGAAUAAUUUGAAACGACGGCAUGCGAAUGUGAAUUUGUAUGUUGGUCGAGUCUC
This 320-nucleotide unclassified non-coding RNA is filed under the name Dickeya dadantii. RNAcentral's name for it is "partial 16S-23S ribosomal RNA intergenic spacer". The stretch from base 89 to 161 matches the Rfam family "tRNA". The record is from RNAcentral. Lineage: Bacteria; Pseudomonadati; Pseudomonadota; Gammaproteobacteria; Enterobacterales; Pectobacteriaceae.